CUUUCUCCGCCGGCGACCGGCGCACGGGUGAGUAACACGUAUGCAACCUGCCCCUGUCAGGGGGACAACCCGCCGAAAGGCGGGCUAAACCCGCGUACAUGCCACCGGGGCAUCCCGGAGGCAGGAAAGGCUUCGGCCGGCAGGGAUGGGCAUGCGGCGCAUUAGGCAGUAGGCGGGGUAACGGCCCACCUAACCGACGAUGCGUAGGGGUUCUGAGAGGAAGGUCCCCCACACUGGUACUGAGACACGGACCAGACUCCUACGGAAGGCAGCAG
Molecule: ribosomal RNA, 275 nt
Filed under: uncultured bacterium
Lineage: Bacteria
Description: partial 16S ribosomal RNA
Rfam family: Bacterial small subunit ribosomal RNA
Source: RNAcentral